This 428-nucleotide ribosomal RNA is filed under the name uncultured bacterium. Its description in RNAcentral is "partial 16S ribosomal RNA". It matches the Rfam family "Bacterial small subunit ribosomal RNA", at positions 354 to 796 of the family's 1533-position model. The record is from RNAcentral.
GUGGGGAAUAUUGGGCAAUGGGCGCAAGCCUGACCCAGCAACGCCGCGUGAAGGAAGAAGGCUUUCGGGUUGUAAACUUCUUUUACCAGGGACGAAACAAAUGACGGUACCUGGUGAAUAAGCCACGGCUAACUACGUGCCAGCAGCCGCGGUAAUACGUAGGUGGCGAGCGUUAUCCGGAUUUAUUGGGUGUAAAGGGCGUGUAGGCGGGACAGCAAGUCAGAUGUGAAAACCAGAGGCUCAACCUCUGGCCUGCAUUUGAAACUGUUGUUCUUGAGUGUCGGAGAGGUAAUCGGAAUUCCGUGUGUAGCGGUGAAAUGCGUAGAUAUACGGAGGAACACCAGUGGCGAAGGCGGAAUACUGGACGAUAACUGACGCUGAGGCGCGAAAGCGUGGGGAGCAAACAGGAUUAGAUACCCCUGUAGUCC